GAUGAACGCUGGCGGCGUGCCUAAUACAUGCAAGUCGAGCGAACGGACGAGAAGCUUGCUUCUCUGAUGUUAGCGGCGGACGGGCGAGUAACACGUGGAUAACCUACCUAUAAGACUGGGAUAACUUCGGGAAACCGGAGCUAAUACCGGAUAAUAUUUUGAACCGCAUGGUUCAAAAGUGAAAGACGGUCUUGCUGUCACUUAUAGAUGGAUCCGCGCUGCAUUAGCUAGUUGGUAAGGUAACGGCUUACCAAGGCAACGAUGCAUAGCCGACCUGAGAGGGUGAUCGGCCACACUGGAACUGAGACACGGUCCAGACUCCUACGGGAGGCAGCAGUAGGGAACCUUCCGCAAUGGGCGAAAGCCUGACGGAGCAACGCCGCGUGAGUGAUGAAGGUCUUCGGAUCGUAAAACUCUGUUAUUAGGGAAGAACAUAUGUGUAAGUAACUGUGCACAUCUUGACGGUACCUAAUCAGAAAGCCACGGCUAACUACGUG
Molecule: ribosomal RNA, 497 nt
Filed under: uncultured bacterium
Lineage: Bacteria
Description: partial 16S ribosomal RNA
Rfam family: Bacterial small subunit ribosomal RNA
Source: RNAcentral